AACUCUCAAGCAGAAUUAACUUUAUUGUUUAUUUCUUGUUUGGAUUUGGACUCUUGCCGCGUUACUGCGGCUGGUCUUAAAAGUAUUAGCUGGUCUGUAAGAAACUUUGGGUUUGACUUGGCGUGAUAAAUAUUCGCUGAGGACAUCCUUUUGGGUGGCCUAAUUUCUUACUGGAUUGCUUCUAAUCGUCUUUAUCGACAACUUUAUUUCAA
RNAcentral lists this unclassified non-coding RNA (212 nucleotides) under uncultured Sistotrema. RNAcentral describes it as "sequence contains ITS2". Lineage: Eukaryota; Fungi; Basidiomycota; Agaricomycetes; Corticiales; Corticiaceae. The record is from RNAcentral.